This 387-nucleotide ribosomal RNA is filed under the name uncultured bacterium. RNAcentral describes it as "bacterial SSU rRNA". It matches the Rfam family "Bacterial small subunit ribosomal RNA", at positions 28 to 416 of the family's 1533-position model. The record is from RNAcentral.
GACGAACGCUGGCGGCGUGCCUAACACAUGCAAGUCAACUUGACUGAAGGAGCAAUCUGACAGUAGAGUGGCGCAAGGGUGCGUAACGCGUAAGUAACUUGCCCAAGGUAAGGAAUAACGUCGGAGAAAUCGGCGCUAAUACCUCAUAAUGCAGCGGAUCCGCAUGGAUAUGUUGUUAAAGGUUUACCGCCUUGGGAUAGGCUUGCGUCUGAUUAGCUAGUUGGUGUGGUAACGGCACACCAAGGCUACGAUCAGUAACUGGUCUGAGAGGAUGAUCAGUCACACUGGAACUGAGACACGGUCCAGACUCCUACGGGAGGCAGCAGUGAGGAAUAUUGGGCAAUGCUCGAAAGAGUGACCAGCAACGCCGCGUGGAGGAUGAAGGUA